This 301-nucleotide ribosomal RNA is filed under the name uncultured bacterium. Its description in RNAcentral is "partial 16S ribosomal RNA". It matches the Rfam family "Bacterial small subunit ribosomal RNA", at positions 509 to 807 of the family's 1533-position model. The record is from RNAcentral.
CAGUAGCCGCGGGAAUACGAAGGGGGCUAGCGUUGCUCGGAAUCACUGGGCGUAAAGGGUGCGUAGGCGGGUCUUUAAGUCAGAGGUGAAAUCCUGGAGCUCAACUCCAGAACUGCCUUUGAUACUGAGGAUCUUGAGUUCGGGAGAGGUGAGUGGAACUACGAGUGUAGAGGUGAAAUGCGUAGAUAUCGAUCGGAACACCCAUGGCGAAGGCAGCUCGCUGGCCUAACACUGACGCUGAGGCGCGAAAGCGUGGGGAGCAAACAGGAUUAGAGACCCCCGUAGUCCCUGUCUCUUAUAC